UGGGCAGCCUGCUCGCCCAGGGCUCGCCCUUCCUCUGUCUUGACAGGGUCUCCGCCUCACCCUCCUCUCCUGCCUCUUCCUCCUCUGUCUCUGUGAUCCCAAGGCCACCAAGAAAUCUCUCCAUGUCGACCUGAGCCCCCUGCAGACCUCCUUGUGCCAUGUGAGGCACAUUCUCCAGCUUUAACAUGGGCCACCACCAGAAUGCCUCCCAGUGACAGUCCUGGCAGGGACCGCCUCCAGUGUUCUGAGCACUUAGGGAUUCUGGCCAUCCUGCUCAUGGUCCAAGUGGUGGCCUUUUACAGAGGCCGAGCUUCAGCCUCCCGACAGACUCCAGCUGAGCCCGGGCCACCACCCAGUGCAGCAGACAGAGCCGGACCUCCCACGUGUGCGGUAACAGGCUGCACCAGGCAGUGCCGGGCCACAGGAGACCACUUGUCCCUCUGUUUGGAAAGGUUAGGAAGAUUUCCCAGAGGGGGGGACAUUUAAGCGGAGACUUGAAGGUGAAGAAUGA
Molecule: long non-coding RNA, 511 nt
Filed under: Ictidomys tridecemlineatus (thirteen-lined ground squirrel)
Lineage: Eukaryota; Metazoa; Chordata; Mammalia; Rodentia; Sciuridae
Description: lncRNA (ENSSTOG00000034970.1)
Source: RNAcentral